GAUGAACGCUAGCGGGAGGCCUAAUACAUGCAAGUCGAGCGGUAGAAUGACUUCGGUUGUUUGAGAGCGGCGAACGGGUGAGUAACGCGUACACAAUCUACCUUUAAGAGGGGAAUAGCCCUGGGAAACUGGGAUUAAUGCCCCAUGGCAUCACGGGAUGGCAUCGUUUUGUGAUUAAAGCUGAGGUGCUUAAAAGAUGAGUGUGCGUCUGAUUAGCUAGUUGGUACGGUAACGGCGUACCAAGGCGACGAUCAGUAGGGGGCGUGAGAGCGUGGACCCCCCANACGGGUACUGAGACACGGACCCGACUCCUACGGGAGGCAGCAGUAAGGAAUAUUGGUCAAUGGAGGAAACUCUGAACCAGCCAUCCCGCGUGCAGGAAGAAUGCCCUAUGGGUUGUAAACUGCUUUUAUCU
Molecule: ribosomal RNA, 415 nt
Filed under: uncultured bacterium
Lineage: Bacteria
Description: bacterial SSU rRNA
Rfam family: Bacterial small subunit ribosomal RNA
Source: RNAcentral